Molecule: ribosomal RNA, 253 nt
Filed under: uncultured bacterium
Lineage: Bacteria
Description: partial 16S ribosomal RNA
Rfam family: Bacterial small subunit ribosomal RNA
Source: RNAcentral
UACGGGGGGGGCAAGCGUUGUUCGGAAUUACUGGGCGUAAAGGGCUCGUAGGUGGCCAACUAAGUCAUACGUGAAAUCCCUCAGCUUAACUGGGGAACUGCGCCUGAUACUGGUUGGCUUGAGUUUGGGAGAGGGACGCGGAAUUCCCGGUGUAGCAGUGAAAUGCGUAGAUAUCGGGAGGAACACCAGUGGCGAAGGCGGCCUUCUGGACCAGUACUGACGCUCAUGCACGAAAGCGUGGGGAGCAAACAGG